UUUAAUGUUUUAGAAGUAGAAGGUUUUAAGUCAUUCAUUGAGUACUCUAAAUAAAAGGCUAUAAAGUAGGUGUGAGUGUCAAUUAUGUUGGUCUAUGUGCUAAUCAAGGGGUCUGAGCGCCAAUUAUGCAGUCCUAUGUGCCAACCAAAGGAGAGCCUAAGUUCCAAUUACGUCGGCCUAUGUGCCAAUUAUGUCAGUUUAUGUGCUAACCAGGGGCCUAAGUGCCAAUUAUGUCGGGUCUAUGUUCCAAUUAUGUCGGCUUAUGUGCCAACCAAGGGCCUAAGUUGCCAAGUUAGUCAUUAUUCAAACUCUGAAUCGUGCAAUACGGGGUGAGUCAUGCUUGGAGGAGGACUAUGGAGCGAGCUCUAAUCCUGUCCACAGCUAAGAUUGGAAA
Molecule: long non-coding RNA, 394 nt
Filed under: Trifolium pratense (red clover)
Lineage: Eukaryota; Viridiplantae; Streptophyta; Magnoliopsida; Fabales; Fabaceae
Description: long non-coding RNA (TPRA_LNC011835)
Source: RNAcentral